UCGGCUCUAUAUAAACUUUUUCCAUAUUUAAAACACAUACACAGCUCAGUCUAUGCUUCAUUGCUUGUUACCCAUGGUUCUCAUCCAUCCAAGAAAGGCUACCCAUGGUCCUGGACCAACUAUCAUGCCCAACUGUCCAUGGUCCGACCAAUCAAGCAUCAGCCUGUCGGUUUUAGCUGUUGACCAAGUCUCACUGUCAUCUACACCACUUGCUCAAGGUCAUGUAUCAAGGGUCUUUAGUCGCCAUCCCCACAUGUGCAGUAUG
Molecule: long non-coding RNA, 265 nt
Filed under: Amborella trichopoda
Lineage: Eukaryota; Viridiplantae; Streptophyta; Magnoliopsida; Amborellales; Amborellaceae
Description: long non-coding RNA (ATRI_LNC004570)
Source: RNAcentral